Long non-coding RNA from Anarrhichthys ocellatus (wolf-eel), 377 nucleotides. RefSeq lists it as uncharacterized. The record is from RefSeq and is a predicted model, not a curated record. Lineage: Eukaryota; Metazoa; Chordata; Actinopteri; Perciformes; Anarhichadidae. The transcript is spliced from 3 exons.
CAGGUAGGUGAGCGUGGGAGGAAAUAGUUUCAGCUAUGCCGCGAACACACCGACCCCUGACUGGAUUAAGAGUUGUGUCGGUUCGCCAGAGCAUCUUGCUUUGAACAGAGUGUCACGUCAGGGCACGUCGUCGGUCAUCUCACCUGGACGCUCAACAACAGACAGAUGCCCCGCUGUCGUUUCGGUCUAUCUGAUGCUGUGAUGGUCCAGCUGUAAGAACACAGGCCUCACAGACCUACAAUACUCUCUAUUCCUCAGGGAGUCGCAUGUCAACCAUGGCGACGCAGGUGUUAAUCCCACCGACAGUGUUUGUGUCCACCGUGCUGUCGCUGCUCAGCUUGGUGCUGCUGCUGCUGCUGUGUGUCAUAAGGAAGAAA